GUGACUUUUAAUGUUUCCUACUUCCUGUCCUGUCAAGGGCAAUAACUUGUGUUUGACCGAAGUGAUAACUCAGGGUCAACGAAGCUGCUAAGCACAAUGUUUGGUUUAGUAAAGAACGUGGCUGUGAGAUCACAACCUGUUGUUAGAAGUGCAGUAAACCGGCAAAUUGUAAGAAACUUUGGUGAAGAUAUCCAAGUCGGCAAACCAAGAUAUCCAUUGGGUGACCGAGCUAUGUGGAAAAAGGGGCUUGUUUUCCUACCAUUCAUGUUUAUCAUCUGGUACCCAUCUUGGUAUGUGACUAAAAAUCUGAGGAAACACAAAGAAGCCAAGGCAGCACAGGGUUAACUAACAGAGUUCUUAGCAGUCCAACAAACUUAAAACACAGUGAAGACACAUCACACUGACAAUAACUAGUGGUUCAUUCGUUGACUUGUAUGAAUUAAAUUGAUUUAAUAUGACAAAGAAA
Molecule: long non-coding RNA, 466 nt
Organism: Ostrea edulis (European flat oyster)
Lineage: Eukaryota; Metazoa; Mollusca; Bivalvia; Ostreida; Ostreidae
Exons: 2
Source: RefSeq, a predicted model, not a curated record